CAGCAGCCGCGGUAAUACGAAGGGUGCAAGCGUUACUCGGAAUUACUGGGCGUAAAGCGUGCGUAGGUGGUUGUUUAAGUCUGCUGUGAAAGCCCUGGGCUCAACCUGGGAAUUGCAGUGGAUACUGGGCGACUAGAGUAAGGUAGAGGAUAGUGGAAUUUCCGGUGUAGCAGUGAAAUGCGUAGAGAUCGGAAGGAACAUCUGUGGCGAAGGCGACUAUCUGGGCCAUUACUGACACUGAGGCACGAAAGCGUGGGGAGCAAACAGGAUUAGAUACCCCCGUAGUCCCUGUCUCUUAUAC
This 301-nucleotide ribosomal RNA is filed under the name uncultured bacterium. Its description in RNAcentral is "partial 16S ribosomal RNA". It matches the Rfam family "Bacterial small subunit ribosomal RNA", at positions 509 to 807 of the family's 1533-position model. The record is from RNAcentral.